Phoenix dactylifera (date palm) is the source of this 645-nucleotide non-coding RNA. Lineage: Eukaryota; Viridiplantae; Streptophyta; Magnoliopsida; Arecales; Arecaceae. The record is from RefSeq and is a predicted model, not a curated record.
CCGCGACUCCCGCUUGUGCUGGACAGCGCAAUCCACGCUGUCGGGACUCGGAUCCGGACGGCGCGCGAGGGACCGCGGUAAAACGCGUGAUUUCUCUUCCCAGAAGCGGAGUUCGAUCCCUCCUCGAGCUUCCUACCUUCUGCUUGAGAUCCUCAAGGAAUUAAGGCCAAGAACCCUCAAGUAGGAUUUUUUUCCCUUGUUAAAAGAGCAGACUAGGAACAUAAUGGUUCUUGAUUGUUCUUUAUCUCCACAUAGGAGAUCCCAAAAUACAUCAUCUCCUUCAUUCUCUGUCAAGAAACAGCUAAAGGGUCGCGAUGACUUAGAAUGGUCUAUUCUCUUUGAGCGCCACCGAUUUCUCCUGACAAUGCUGGUCCUGCUGGUUUUACUGUGUACGAUCUAUCUCUACUUUGCUGUUACCUUGGGGGGCACAGGAUCGUGUUCUACAUUGUCGGGAGCUGAUAAGGUAUCGUGUCAGGGAAAAUCUUCUGCGGUACACAACGGAAAAUUAAAAUUUUUCUAGCUUGCAGGUUUUAGCUAUCCACAAGUUAUGUAUGCCUCGUUAUUGACUGUUGCAUGUAGAUCUGUGUGGAACUUUUCUGGAAUUGUUGUGAAAAAAGUAUAAUUGAAUGCCUGUGUUUUUAGCAA